This 87-nucleotide transfer RNA is filed under the name Prototheca wickerhamii. RNAcentral describes it as "transfer RNA-Ser(GCU)". It matches the Rfam family "tRNA". Rfam says of the family: Transfer RNA (tRNA) molecules are approximately 80 nucleotides in length. Their secondary structure includes four short double-helical elements and three loops (D, anti-codon, and T loops). Lineage: Eukaryota; Viridiplantae; Chlorophyta; Trebouxiophyceae; Chlorellales; Chlorellaceae. The record is from RNAcentral.
GGAGAAAUGACCGAGUGGUCGAAGGUAACGCAUUGCUAAUGCGUCGUAUAAUAAAAUAUACCGAGGGUUCGAAUCCCCCUUUCUCCG